Molecule: ribosomal RNA, 273 nt
Filed under: uncultured bacterium
Lineage: Bacteria
Description: partial 16S ribosomal RNA
Rfam family: Bacterial small subunit ribosomal RNA
Source: RNAcentral
UACGUAGGCAGCAAGCGUUGUUCGGAGUUACUGGGCGUAAAGGGUGUGUAGGCGGUUUCGUAAGUCUGGUGUGAAAUCUCCCGGCUCAACUGGGAGGGUGCGCCGGAAACUGCGGGGCUAGAGUGCGGGAUGGGAGAGUGGAAUUCCUGGUGUAGCGGUGAAAUGCGUAGAUAUCAGGAGGAACACCUGCGGUGUAGACGGCUCUCUGGACCGUAACUGACGCUGAGACACGAAAGCGUGGGUAGCAAACAGGAUUAGAAACCCCCGUAGUCC